RNAcentral lists this ribosomal RNA (472 nucleotides) under uncultured bacterium. Its description in RNAcentral is "bacterial SSU rRNA". It matches the Rfam family "Bacterial small subunit ribosomal RNA", at positions 33 to 518 of the family's 1533-position model. The record is from RNAcentral.
ACGCUGGCGGCGUGCCUAAUACAUGCAAGUCGAACGGAGCACUGAAUUCGGUUUGGUGUUUAGUGGCGAACGGGUGAGUAACGCGUGAGGAACCUGACCCACAGAGGGGGAUAACACCUGGAAACGGGUGCUAAUACCGCAUAAGACCACGGUGGCGCAUGCUACAGGGGUCAAAGGAGCAAUCCGCUGAGGGAGGGACUCGCGUCCCAUUAGAUAGUUGGUGAGGUAACGGCCCACCAAGUCAGCGAUGGGUAGCCGAGCUGAGAGGCUGAUCGGCCACACUGGAACUGAGACACGGUCCAGACUCCUACGGGAGGCAGCAGUAGGGAAUAUUGGGCAAUGGGGGAAACCCUGACCCAGCAACGCCGCGUGAGGGAAGAAGGUUUUCGGAUUGUAAACCUCUGUCCUAUGUGACGAAGGAAGUGACGGUAGCAUAGGAGGAAGCCCCGGCUAACUACGUGCCAGCCGCGGC